GCAAGUCGAACGAGACCUUCGGGUCUAGUGGCGCACGGGUGCGUAACGCGUGGGAAUCUGCCCUUGGGUUCGGAAUAACAGUUGGAAACGACUGCUAAUACCGGAUGAUGACGUAAGUCCAAAGAUUUAUCGCCCAGGGAUGAGCCCGCGUAGGAUUAGCUAGUUGGUGAGGUAAAGGCUCACCAAGGCGACGAUCCUUAGCUGGUCUGAGAGGAUGAUCAGCCACACUGGGACUGAGACACGGCCCAGACUCCUACGGGAGGCAGCAGUGGGGAAUAUUGGACAAUGGGCGAAAGCCUGAUCCAGCAAUGCCGCGUGAGUGAUGAAGGCCUUAGGGUUGUAAAGCUCUUUUACCCGGGAUGAUAAUGACAGUACCGGGAGAAUAAGCUCCGGCUAACUCCGUGCCAGCAGCCGCGGUAAUACGGAGGGAGCUAGCGUUGUUCGGAAUUACUGGGCGUAAAGCGCACGUAGGCGGCGAUCUAAGUCAGAGGUGAAAGCCCGGGGCUCAACCCCGGAAUAGCCUUUGAGACUGGAUUGCUUGAAUCCAGGAGAGGUGAGUGGAAUUCCGAGUGUAGAGGUGAAAUUCGUAGAUAUUCGGAAGAACACCAGUGGCGAAGGCGGCUCACUGGACUGGUAUUGACGCUG
RNAcentral lists this ribosomal RNA (645 nucleotides) under uncultured soil bacterium. RNAcentral's name for it is "bacterial SSU rRNA". It matches the Rfam family "Bacterial small subunit ribosomal RNA", at positions 57 to 748 of the family's 1533-position model. The record is from RNAcentral.